GAUGAAUGCUGGCGGCGUGCCUAACACAUGCAAGUCGAGCGGCAGCGCGAGUAGUUUACUACUUGGCGGCGAGCGGCGGACGGCUGAGUAACGCGUGGGAACGUGCCCCAAAGUGAGGGAUAACGCACCGAAAGGUGUGCUAAUACCGCAUAUGGUCUUCGGAUUAAAGAAUUUAUUCGCUUUGGGAGCGGCCCGCGUCGGAUUAGGUAGUUGGUAGGGUAAUGGCCUACCAAGCCGACGAUCCGUAGCUGGUCUGAGAGGAUGAUCAGCCAGACUGGAACUGAGACACGGUCCAGACUCCUACGGGAGGCAGCAGUGAGGAAUCUUCCACAAUGGGCGAAAGCCUGAUGGAGCAACGCCGCGUGCAGGAUGAAGGCCUUCGGGUUGUAAACUGCUUUUAUUUGGGAAGAUUAUGACGGUACCAAAUGAAUAAGGAUCGGCUAACUACGUGCCAGCCGCCGCAGUAA
Molecule: ribosomal RNA, 467 nt
Filed under: uncultured bacterium
Lineage: Bacteria
Description: partial 16S ribosomal RNA
Rfam family: Bacterial small subunit ribosomal RNA
Source: RNAcentral